AAAAGUUACAGAAAAAGAAACCGGUUCACACGCCCCAGUAUCACCUUUAUCUGACUUAAGGGCACUUGGGGGAAUCGACAAAGUAACUCACAAUGGACCUGUGAAUCACACACAUUGCCCUUAGAUAUUGCUCGGAGAAGGGCAUCCAUAUCAACCACGAAUCCACUGAAGCAAUCAUGCCCAUUUUAGCAUUUUUGAGUUGCUUCUACGAUUUCACUUCAAGGAAAAAUAGAACCCCACUUUUUACCAUUCAGGCACCACCGUCCGAUUGGUGGGCUUGAAAUGGUCCCUUUGUCACCUCACCCCAGCACAUGCUUCCAAAUGGGAUCUGCCCAAUAUCCAAGUUCUGGAAAGGUCCACUCAAAGAUCUCAUGAGCCCUUGCUUCUUUAUUCUGAAUACUUGUGAAAGAAAACCAUGUUCUCAACAAUCAAGAUCUUCUUCUCUCACUAAUACCAUAUAAGCUAAAAAGCAAGUCAAUUACUAAAUUCAUGAUUAUCUUUUUAACCCAGCUUUGGCUAUCUUGAAUCACAUUUCUGGAUUCUGGUAAUCAUUAGAAUUCUGGGGUUAGUAAGAUUUUGUGAUGAGAGUGUUAAUCAUUGAUUUGGUUCUUCAUUCCACACCUAAAACCCCCUGACAGCACUUGGAACAUAACUUGAUGGUUAGGUUUGGUGAAAGGUAUGUUUAGGUCUUUGCCCCUGAGAUUUGGAGCCUGUUAUCUCAAACAGUCUUCUGCCAAGGAGCCUGUUAUCGCAACUUUCUGGUAAGCCAUCUCUUUCAAAAUUGAAGCAAUCAUAAUACCCAUGUUGCUAGUGGAUCUGUCUUCAAAGGUCCCAUGCUUGAUGUUUGAUUUAUCUCAUCGUUUUCUUGCCCUGGAAGCUACAAAAACUAAAGCAAUUCCAUCAACAUUACAACAAUUAUAUUAAGUCAAAACAAAACUCACGAGCAAUCUAACUUAAAUUUCGUGCUUUGACAGCAUGCUCAUUGGAUCGCACUUGGGAAUACAAAACAAAAGAAGUUAAAAAGAUCCUAGUCAUGUUUUGCAUGCCACGAUCUAUGCAAAGCAUAGGAAGCAAUAUAUCGGGAUGGUUGGAAGGGCUAAAUCGCCAUGAUUUCUGGGCUUAAGCACAUGUUGUGAUGUUCCAUUUCUAUUGACUGGUCGCGAUUCAUGAUCUCCCUGGCGAUAUGCUUAGAUAGCUAGUUGGAAAGCCAAACCAAUUAGCUUUGUACCGGUGGCUCCACACCCUGUAGCGGUCUUUAUUGUGUUUGUUCAAAUAGUAAGGGCCCCCUCAGCCCCAGGACUAGGAUUAGGAUUAAAUUGUUGUGGGAGAGAGUCAUUAUCAACACGAAGAUGGAUCCUUUUAUUUAAUGAAUCACAUCAGGGUCAUCACUAGUAGAUUCUCAAAUCUGGGUUAUUUGAAAUUAGAUUAAGAUGUGAUUAGAAGUUUUAUCUUAAGUCAUUAACAUAUAAGCAACAAUCCAACAAGCUCAGGUAAUGAAAAAUUUUCUGCCAAAUGCAUCCCACUGCUGGAAACUCUCUCAAGUAUUGAAUAAUUGGAAUGAUUGUGAACAUAUAUAAUUGGGAGAUUCCCACUAGGAAAUGAGAGACACCAGGAUCCAAAUGUCUCCAUCAGCCAGUUUCCAUUAGCUUUCCUCUCAUCCUGUUUCUUUACCCUAUUUUAGCUCAUUAUUGGGUCGUUUUGUCUUUUGUUUUUGAGUAGAUGAACAUGAAAUAUUUGUUAUCUGUACCUUUCUCUUGGAAGCAAAGGUAUUUUGUAAUUGUGAAUCUGUUUGGAAUUUCC
RNAcentral lists this long non-coding RNA (1800 nucleotides) under Theobroma cacao (cacao). RNAcentral's name for it is "long non-coding RNA (TCAC_LNC004096)". Lineage: Eukaryota; Viridiplantae; Streptophyta; Magnoliopsida; Malvales; Malvaceae. The record is from RNAcentral.